RNAcentral lists this ribosomal RNA (468 nucleotides) under uncultured bacterium. Its description in RNAcentral is "partial 16S ribosomal RNA". It matches the Rfam family "Bacterial small subunit ribosomal RNA", at positions 28 to 507 of the family's 1533-position model. The record is from RNAcentral.
GACGAACGCUGGCGGCGUGCCUAACACAUGCAAGUCGAACGGAAAGGCCAUGAUCUUGCGGCGCGCUCGUGAGGCGAAGACGUGUGUAUAACGCGAGUAUCACCUCCCUAUCAUUGGGAUAUAACCUGGAAAAUGGGGCUCAUAUAGGAUAGGAGAUCCUGCUGCGCGGUGGGGAUUGGUGAGAUUCGGCGGUUGGGGCACGAAUAGAGGCAUCUCAGCCUGAUGGUGGGGUUGUGGCUUAACAAGGCUUUGAAGGCUAGCAGGCCUGAGCGGGUGACCGGCCACAUUGGGCCUGAGAGACGGCCAAGACUCCUACGUGAGGCAGCAGUGGGGAAUAUUGCACGAUGGGCGGAAGCCUGAUGCAUCAACGCCGCGUGCUGGAUAACGGCCUUCGGGUUGUAAACCGCUUUCGCCUGGGACGAAGCGUGGGUGACGGUAAUGGGUAAAAAAGCGCCGGCUAACUACGUG